Long non-coding RNA from Peromyscus leucopus (white-footed mouse), 1496 nucleotides. RefSeq lists it as uncharacterized. The transcript is spliced from 2 exons. The record is from RefSeq and is a predicted model, not a curated record. Lineage: Eukaryota; Metazoa; Chordata; Mammalia; Rodentia; Cricetidae.
GCGGGUCAAUGGUAAGUGCUGCAAGAACUGGCCACCCAACAGGAUUCAUGACCAGCAGCCCAGGGACAGGGCCAUCUGCACAAGCAAGCUGGGAGAACACAGCAUGCUUCACCACGCCAGGCCUGGGGACAGUUUGCCGAGAACGGGAACUGCACUUAUUUUGGGCAAUUUGGGUUGGGUUUCUCACUCCAUUUUACUGCUGGUCAGAGGAGAAUUUGGCCAGUACUGGUACUACAUGUAGCUGUUGGAAUCUGCAACCAGGACUAUUUGAUGCCGCACCUAGCCCUCAUCAAUCCUGCUGCCAUUGACCAGUCUCUGUCCUUUCACUGUAUAGCCUGCCUGCUGCUCAACUCAGCCCCAGGAAAAGGGACAAAUCAACAGGAUUUCCCAUUCCACCAAGUGGGUCAGAGCUGGUUCCACAACCACAGUCACCUGGCUUUCCUCAAGACUCCUGUGUCCACAGGGGGCCUCUGUAUCAUAGUCACCGGUUCCUCCCAACUGUCCUUACCCACCCGGCAUCUGAGUCCCAGCUCUGAGCUGGGACCCUUCAGCCCUGGCUGCACAGUCGAGGCCCGGGGCUGAAGAUGUUCCGGCUUGGCCUCACACAACCGCUCACAAGGGUUCAGAGCCUGACCAGAUGUCACACAGACUGCAGUAACAGCCAGGCCCAGCUGCUUACCCCAGCUUGGGCUCUGUCUGACACCCGCAGGUUCCUCUGAGGACCCGUUUUCUCAGGUGAGAUUUCAUUUCUUGGGCAGUACCGCUCUUAUGACUGAACCACACUCGACUGCUCUAAAGGCAAAGGGCUGUUCCGAGUUGCAUCCGAAUCAGAAGACUGGCUGUUGCCGAGGCUCAGGUUCCCUAGCCUUCUUCCCUCCUUUCAGCCUAGAACCUGGAAACACCUGACCCAGCCCCUGACAAUGGUAACACUGGGACUUGACAGAAAUGGAAUGUCAGACCUUUGCUAAGCUACCACAAGCCCUGAGCUGCCCAUCGUGAGCUGGGUGUUAUCUGGCAAAAGUGGUCGCACACAACAGCACCUCGUCAUCAAAUGAACAUGGUGUACUCCACAACACUGAACUCAAGACUCAGCAACACAGACUUCCAUUCACCAAGGCCAGUCUGGCCCCAGCCUCUGCACAGCCUAGGCAUAACAAUGGGCACCAUUCAUGAGUCUUACAGAAGCUUCAUGAUGCAGCAGGUUCCACAGAACAGUUCUGGAAACUUGCUAACAGUGCCAGGGAGGUGACAGUAUCUUGCAAGUUUCUCCAGGACUCUGUAGAUACUCAAAACUAGCAACCCAUACAAGUAGUACAUCAGGUCAUGCUAGUCCAGGGCCAGAAGGACAGCCACAUAAGCAGAAACCAUGCAAAGUAACUUCAGUAAUUAACAGGCAAGACUGGGAUUCUCCCAUAAACCCUUAGAAAUGUUUGUUAACCUAUCAAAACCUCUAUUCAGGAUGUAAAUUAUAGCAAAAUAAAAAGCUAACAAAAUAA